UACGGAGGAUCCAAGCGUUAUCCGGAUUUAUUGGGUUUAAAGGGUGCGUAGGCGGAUUGAUAAGUUAGAGGUGAAAUGUCCGAGCUCAACUCGGGAACUGCCUCUAAUACUGUUGAUCUAGAGAGUAGAUGCGGUAGGCGGAAUGUAUGGUGUAGCGGUGAAAUGCUUAGAGAUCAUACAGAACACCGAUUGCGAAGGCAGCAUACCAAUCUAUAUCUGACGUUGAGGCACGAAAGCGUGGGGAGCAAACAGG
RNAcentral lists this ribosomal RNA (253 nucleotides) under uncultured bacterium. Its description in RNAcentral is "partial 16S ribosomal RNA". It matches the Rfam family "Bacterial small subunit ribosomal RNA", at positions 524 to 776 of the family's 1533-position model. The record is from RNAcentral.